UACGGAGGGUCCGAGCGUUAUCCGGAAUCAUUGGGUUUAAAGGGUCCGUAGGUGGGCCAUUAAGUCAGGGGUGAAAGUCUGCGGCUCAACCGUAGAAUUGCCUUUGAUACUGGUGGUCUUGAGUCGUUGUGGAGUUGCCGGAACAUGUGGUGUAGCGGUGAAAUGCAUAGAUAUCACAUAGAACACCGAUCGCGAAGGCAGGUAACUAACAACGUACUGACACUGAUGGACGAAAGCGUGGGUAGCGAACGGG
This 253-nucleotide ribosomal RNA is filed under the name uncultured bacterium. RNAcentral describes it as "partial 16S ribosomal RNA". It matches the Rfam family "Bacterial small subunit ribosomal RNA", at positions 524 to 776 of the family's 1533-position model. The record is from RNAcentral.